Molecule: ribosomal RNA, 492 nt
Filed under: uncultured bacterium
Lineage: Bacteria
Description: partial 16S ribosomal RNA
Rfam family: Bacterial small subunit ribosomal RNA
Source: RNAcentral
AGUGAACGCUGGCGGUAGGCCUAACACAUGCAAGUCGAACGGCAGCACAGUAAGAGCUUGCUCUUACGGGUGGCGAGUGGCGGACGGGUGAGGAAUACAUCGUAAUCUACUUUUUCGUGGGGGAUAACGUAGGGAAACUUACGCUAAUACCGCAUACGACCUACGGGUGAAAGCAGGGGAUCUUCGGACCUUGCACGAUUGAAUGAGCCGAUGUCGGAUUAGCUAGUUGGCGGGGUAAAGGCCCACCAAGGCGACGAUCCGUAGCUGGUCUGAGAGGAUGAUCAGCCACACUGGAACUGAGACACGGUCCAGACUCCUACGGGAGGCAGCAGUGGGGAAUAUUGGACAAUGGGCGGAAGCCUGAUACAGCCAUACCGAGUGGGUGAAGAAGGCCUUCGGGUUGUAAAGCCCUUUUGUUGGGAAAGAAAAGCAGCAGGUUAAUACCCCGCUGUUCUGACGGUACCCAAAGAAUAAGCACCGGCUAACUUCGUG